GUGCUCAGUUCAGCAGCACAUACCCAAAAAAAUUGGAAUGAUACAGAGAUUUGCAUGGCGCCUGCGCAAGGAUAACAUGCAAAUUCAUGAAGCGUGCCAUUAUUUUU
This 107-nucleotide small nuclear RNA is filed under the name Pongo abelii (Sumatran orangutan). Lineage: Eukaryota; Metazoa; Chordata; Mammalia; Primates; Hominidae. The record is from RNAcentral.